Molecule: RNA transcript, 3568 nt
Organism: Elaeis guineensis (African oil palm)
Lineage: Eukaryota; Viridiplantae; Streptophyta; Magnoliopsida; Arecales; Arecaceae
Gene name: transmembrane 9 superfamily member 8
Source: RefSeq, a predicted model, not a curated record
CGACGCGAGCCAGGUGGGCCGAGCGCCGAUCGGGAUUCACGAGUUUUUAAUUCCUGGUUCUCCACUGCUCGGUGCGACGAGAGAUUCUGAGAGAGCGCGUGGCGUUAGAUCUCGUUUUCUUGUUCUUCGCGUUCCGAGAUCUCCCGAAGGUCUCCAACUUCCCCCGGGAAACCCUAGCUUUCCCUCGAGUCUCCUGUUCGUAGAUCUCUCCGAUGGCGAUCUCUCGAUGGCUGGCGGUCCUCCCGUGGAUCGCGCUGGCACUCGUGCUCUCCUCCGUCACCGGCGGCCACUGCUUCUAUCUCCCCGGCGUCGCACCCGCGGAUUUCCAGAAGAAAGAUCCACUUUAUGUGAAGGUGAACAAAUUAACUUCCACAAAAACUCAGCUUCCAUACUCCUAUUAUUCACUACCUUAUUGUAGACCAGAUACUAUAGUCGACAGUGCAGAGAAUCUUGGGGAAGUUCUUCGUGGUGAUCGUAUUGAAAACUCUCCCUACGUGUUUGAGAUGAGAGAGCCACACAUGUGUCAAAUUGUUUGCAAGAUUACACUCAAUGACAAAGAUGCCAAAGACCUUAAGGAAAAGAUAGAGGAUGAGUAUCGGGUCAACAUGGUUCUUGACAAUCUUCCUCUAGUUGUUCCUAUAAAAAGACUCGAGCAGGAUUCCCCUACAGUGUAUCAACAUGGGUUCCAUGUUGGUGUCAAAGGCCCAUAUACUGGGAGCAAGGAUGAAAAGUAUUUUAUCCACAAUCAUUUAUCUUUUGUAGUUAAGUAUCAUAGGGAUGUUCAAGCAGAUCUUGCAAGGAUCGUGGGAUUUGAGGUUAAGCCAUUCAGUGUUAAACAUGAGUAUGAAGGUGACUGGAAUGGUGUUAACACGCGCCUGAGCACCUGUGAUCCCCAUGCCAAACGCUUGGUUGUGAAUUCUGAUUCUCCCCAAGAGGUUGAAGCAAAGAAGGAGAUUGUACUCACAUAUGAUGUUGCAUUUGAGGAGAGUGAAGUGAAAUGGGCAUCUCGAUGGGAUACCUAUCUUCUGAUGACUGAUGACCAAAUUCACUGGUUCUCCAUUGUCAAUUCCUUGAUGAUCGUACUCUUCCUUUCUGGGAUGGUGGCCAUGAUCAUGCUGCGAACCCUUUACCGUGACAUUUCCAAGUACAACCAGCUGGAAACUCAAGAAGAAGCUCAAGAGGAGACAGGAUGGAAGCUUGUCCAUGGGGAUGUCUUCAGGCCCCCGGCAAAGUCGGACUUACUGUGUGUAUAUGUUGGCACAGGUGUUCAAUUCUUUGGUAUGCUUCUUGUAACCAUGAUGUUUGCUGUUCUUGGCUUCCUUUCUCCAUCAAACCGAGGAGGAUUAAUGACAGCCAUGCUUCUACUUUGGGUCUUCAUGGGGCUUUUUGCUGGAUACUCCUCUGCCCGUCUCUACAAGAUGUUUAAGGGUACAGAAUGGAAGAAAAUCACCCUCAGGACGGCAUUCAUGUUCCCUGGCAUUGUCUUUGGUAUCUUUUUUGUCUUGAAUGCCCUAAUAUGGGGGCAGAAGUCCUCUGGUGCUGUGCCCUUCACCACAAUGUUUGCCCUUGUAUUGCUGUGGUUUGGUAUCUCGGUGCCUCUUGUGUUUGUGGGCAGCUAUGUGGGGUCCAAGAAGCCAGCAAUGGAGGAUCCCGUGAAGACAAACAAAAUCCCCAGGCAGAUACCUGAACAGGCUUGGUACAUGAAUCCAAUUUUCUCAGUACUGAUUGGAGGCAUCCUUCCAUUUGGAGCUGUCUUCAUCGAGCUUUUCUUCAUCCUUACAUCCAUUUGGCUGCACCAGUUCUACUACAUUUUUGGGUUCCUCUUUCUCGUAUUUCUCAUCCUUAUUGUCACCUGUGCUGAGAUCACGAUUGUGCUGUGUUAUUUCCAGCUGUGCAGUGAGGAUUACUUGUGGUGGUGGAGGUCGUAUCUGACCUCUGGAUCUUCUGCACUGUAUCUUUUCCUCUAUGCGACCUUCUACUUCUUCACAAAGCUGGAGAUCACAAAGCCAGUCUCUGGCAUUUUAUACUUUGGUUACAUGCUAAUUGCCUCAUAUGCCUUCUUUGUACUGACUGGCACAAUUGGCUUCUAUGCGUGCUUCUGGUUCACAAGACUGAUAUACUCAUCUGUGAAGAUAGACUAAAAGCUUGGUUGGGCCGUAUGUGUUGUAUGCACAAGUGAUAUUCAACACUGCAGGAUGGAGCAUGCGAAAAUUGUUCACGCUGUUAUUCGACACCAUUUGCUCGCAAAGGAUAGGGCUACGAGGGCUGAGGAUUAGGAGUGGUUCUUCUCUUUUUGGUUCAUGAAGUCUGGGUGCUCAUAUUUCAGGUCUGGCGCUAGGAGGAAGACGACCACGUCCGAGUUUUCAAUCUCCCCCUGAGGAUGAGCCUUUCCUCAUUUUCACUAUCGUACCAUCAGAGCCGCUAGAGGAUACUGCAGAGGCAGACAAUUCAGUGUAGGUGGUGAGGCGAGGGUGAAGUCCGUCAAAGAAUCUCACCCUGGAGCAUUGGAGAUGUGAGCACGAGGGACAUCGUCUCCGUAUCGAGAUUUCGUCCGGCUUCACCACGCACAUUAGGGGAUAGUGCGAGCUAUGGUGGACUGAGCUGGGUAUCAUAUGCUGCAGCUAUGCUCCUGUGAUGCUCUCCGAUUAAUAUCAUGUUACAUCGACUUAGAGGGAGAUCUUUUAUAGUCAUUUACAGAUAAAAUAAUAUUUAGUAAAAUAUUUAAUUAGUACUGUAUUCUUAUAAUAUUUAUUAUUGGCAGGCUGUAUUUGAUAUGUUGAUUUUAAGCAUGAUUACAUGCGUGUAGGAUCAGAGGGUGGAGGCAGUGCGGCAGCAGCCAUAUGAUAGCAUCAGUAUCGAGGACUGGACUGUCAUAUACCGCAGGAUCGAUGUGCCCGAAAUGCCGUCAAUCGGGCAAGACAGACCAUCUCGCACUGUGGGGGUUCAAGGCCGUUCGCUCGCCUUAUAGAAAAGAUGUAGAGAGUGACGAGCUUCCUGAUAGGAUCGAGAUCUACCAGCAGACCCACUAGUAAUGGUCAGGGGAGUGGACGGUAGGGAGCCAAGAGCUUAUGAUCGUAUGAUAGAGAUGAGAUCCCAACCUACCCUUGAGGGCUUGACUGCAUCUACAAAUGAGGAGAUCUGUGAUCAGAUGCUUGGUACAAGACCCUGUUAUAUUAGGAGGCUAGGAUAUGGGAUGAGAGCUCCUCCAUCCUUAUGCUCGUCUAGGGUUGACAUUCAUGUUGCCUGCGAUGUCUGACUGACGAAGAUACAGAGACAGAUUGCUGAGGAUCAACAGUGAGCUGUUGAGUUGACUGCACGCGUUGAUUCCUACCAGUCAUUUCAGAUACAGAUGAUGGAGUGGAUGGCACAGAUGAAGCAGAUGAUGGAGCUGAUAAGGCAGCAGUAAGUCGAUCCGUCGUGCUCCAUCGUUCUCCUUCUUCAGAUGCUGAUGCUUGAUGGCUAGUUACUUAUUUUCAUAUUUUUUAUUUUAUUUUAGACCUCUUGUAAUUAUUAAAUUUAUUUUUUUAUAAUUAUAUUUUAAUAUAAUGAAAUGAUCAAAUUUAUUUAU